UACGUAGGGUCCGAGCGUUGUCCGGAAUUAUUGGGCGUAAAGGGCUCGUAGGCGGCCAACUAAGUCAGACGUGAAAUCCCCAGGCUUAACCUGGGAACUGCGUCUGAUACUGGAUGGCUUGAAUUCGGGAGAGGGAUGCAGAAUUCCAGGUGCAGCGGUGAAAUGCGUAGAUAUCUGGAGGAAUACCGGUGGCGAAGGCGGCAUCCUGGACCGAGAUUGACGCUGAUGAGCGAAAGCUAGGGGAGCAAACGGG
This 253-nucleotide ribosomal RNA is filed under the name uncultured bacterium. RNAcentral describes it as "partial 16S ribosomal RNA". It matches the Rfam family "Bacterial small subunit ribosomal RNA", at positions 524 to 776 of the family's 1533-position model. The record is from RNAcentral.